Molecule: ribosomal RNA, 495 nt
Filed under: uncultured bacterium
Lineage: Bacteria
Description: partial 16S ribosomal RNA
Rfam family: Bacterial small subunit ribosomal RNA
Source: RNAcentral
GACGAACGCUGGCGGCGUGCCUAAUACAUGCAAGUAGAACGCUGAAGGAGGAGCUUGCUUCUCCGGAUGAGUUGCGAACGGGUGAGUAACGCGUAGGUAACCUGCCUGGUAGCGGGGGAUAACUAUUGGAAACGAUAGCUAAUACCGCAUAACAGUAGAUAUCGCAUGAUAUCUGCUUGAAAGGUGCAAUUGCAUCACUACCAGAUGGACCUGCGUUGUAUUAGCUAGUUGGUGAGGUAACGGCUCACCAAGGCGACGAUACAUAGCCGACCUGAGAGGGUGAUCGGCCACACUGGGACUGAGACACGGCCCAGACUCCUACGGGAGGCAGCAGUAGGGAAUCUUCGGCAAUGGACGGAAGUCUGACCGAGCAACGCCGCGGGAGUGAAGAAGGGUUUCGGAUCGUAAAGCUCUGUUGUAAGAGAAGAACGAGUGUGAGAGUGGAAAGUUCACACUGUGACGGUAUCUUACCAGAAAGGGACGGCUAACUACGUG